Molecule: unclassified non-coding RNA, 345 nt
Filed under: Hevea brasiliensis (rubber tree)
Lineage: Eukaryota; Viridiplantae; Streptophyta; Magnoliopsida; Malpighiales; Euphorbiaceae
Source: RNAcentral
AGUGCCUUUUGCCUAGACUGCAGUAAGAAAGGAAAAGCUCAGGAUCAAAUUUAAAACUAUUAACAAUACAGAACAUUUACCAUGUGAAGCAUGACAAGGAAUUUAGUAUUCCACAAAUGAUCAUAAAAAUAUUUUGAAAGAAUAAACAUAUUAUUUCAAAAGAAAGCAAAGAAAGAUGUAUGCGUCCUAAACUGAUUACUGCCAAAAUCAAGAAUUAUCGAUUAAGCAAAUCCAGGGAAAUAAAAUACAAGUUACAAUGCAUACAUGAGAAACAAAUCCCAAUGUACUUCCAUGUCUUUGAAUCAAAUAUUAAACCUUAAUUUCUUCAUUUAAUACAUCAACUAA